This 465-nucleotide ribosomal RNA is filed under the name uncultured bacterium. Its description in RNAcentral is "partial 16S ribosomal RNA". It matches the Rfam family "Bacterial small subunit ribosomal RNA", at positions 338 to 795 of the family's 1533-position model. The record is from RNAcentral.
CCUACGGGUGGCAGCAGUAGGGAAUCUUCCACAAUGGGCGAAAGCCUGAUGGAGCAACGCCGCGUGGGUGAAGAAGGUCUUCGGAUCGUAAAACCCUGUUGUUAGAGAAGAAAGUGCGGGAGAGUAACUGUUCACGUGUCGACGGUAUCUAACCAGAAAGCCACGGCUAACUACGUGUCAGCAGCCGCGGUAAUACGUAGGUGGCAAGCGUUAUCCGGAUUUAUUAGGCGUAAAGGGAACGCAGGCGGUCUGUUAAGUCUGAGGUGAAAGCCUUCGGCUUAACCGGAGUAGUGCAUUGGAAACUGGGAGACUUGAGUGCAGCAGAGGAGAGUGGACCUCCAUGUGUAGCGGUUACAUGCGUAGAUAUCUGGCAGAACCCCAGUGGCGCACGCGGCUCUCUGGUCUGUACCUGACGCUGAGGUUCGAAAGCGUGGGUAGCACACAGGAUUAGCUACCCGAGUAGUC